AGCGUUGGCUGGAUGAUCGCGCGGUUUGGUUUCAAAUCGUGAGGAAAGUCCGGACACCACAGGGCAGGACGGUCGCUAACGGCGACCCGCGAGAAGCAAAUUCAAAGCGCGGAACAGGGCCACAGAAAUAAACCGCUUCGCAAGAAGUCAGGGUGAAAAGGUGCGGUAAGAGCGCACCGGCAUGGUGGCGACAUCGUGUGUCAAGGCAACCUCCGUCCGGUGCAAGACCAAGCAGAAAACGAUGACGCGGCCCGCCGAGUUUUCGGGUUGGUCGCUGCGGGGAGGAGAAAUCCUUCACGUCACGGCGCGAGCAAUCGCGGCGGCAGAGAAAUGAUCAUCGGCGCUCCAAACGAAAGUUGCGAGCGUCACAGAAUCCGGCUUACAGGCCAACGCUUCAC
Molecule: RNase P RNA, 398 nt
Filed under: Armatimonadota bacterium
Lineage: Bacteria; Bacillati; Armatimonadota
Description: Armatimonadetes bacterium (soil metagenome) RNase P RNA component class A
Rfam family: Bacterial RNase P class A
About the family: Ribonuclease P (RNase P) is a ubiquitous endoribonuclease, found in archaea, bacteria and eukarya as well as chloroplasts and mitochondria. Its best characterised activity is the generation of mature 5'-ends of tRNAs by cleaving the 5'-leader elements of precursor-tRNAs.
Source: RNAcentral